Chinchilla lanigera (long-tailed chinchilla) is the source of this 6140-nucleotide long non-coding RNA. RefSeq lists it as uncharacterized. NCBI's taxonomy places the organism in Eukaryota, Metazoa, Chordata, Mammalia, Rodentia, Chinchillidae. The transcript is spliced from 3 exons. The record is from RefSeq and is a predicted model, not a curated record.
CGAGCCCACGAUUUCAAAUCCUCUUUGCUGCAACCUCUCGAGGACCUGUGAGGGACCAAGACAAGCACCGGUUAGGAGCGAGGGAAGAGCCUUUGUCCUGCUGGGGAGGGGACGGUGGUGACGCUGGACAGCAGCUAAGCACCUGUGGACACUCACCAAGCUGACAUGCCUGGAAGCAGCGGCCGGCCCAGUCUCUAACAAGGUCUCUCUCAUUGUGUUACCAUUUUCUGCACGGUUAAGCUCACGCAGGCCAUUCAUUUUUCUUGGCAGGCUCUUUUUUGUUUGUCUUUCUGUACUUCCUCAUACACAUUUCCAUCCUCUGCUCAGCAGAAAACUCCCUGCAAGGCUGAACCAGCCCCUUCUUCUGAACCUCGGCCUCCUCUCCCUUCUUCAGGGAGCUCCUUUAACUUCAUCAUUUCAAUGCCAGGCUUUUAGAGCUCAGCGUGGCUCCUUUUAGAUUCUCCAGCCCUGUUCUCAUCCCCCCAUUCUGGUCUCUGAAUCUUUUGAAAUCUUCCUUUAUGCCUAGGCUCUGAUAUGCUCGUGCCCUUUCUUUGUUUUUUACAGACUCUUAACUAUUUCUGUAGUUUCGUCUUCCUCAGGUACUCAGGCAGGAGUCUAUGGCCAGCAGCAGAUUUGGGAAGAGUUCUUCUUCAGAAGGAAGUGAUCCAGAGCAUCCCCCUCUCCUUCCUUCUGAGCCAGCAGCUUUCAGGCAAGUAACUCAUGGCCUCAGUGAUGCCAACAAAACAGGGAUGCUGCCAGGCCCACUUACCUCUGGGCAGCCAUAUCGCUACAUAGCCCUGGGUCCUCUUAAAGAAAAACUGGUUAAUCACAGAUUUAUUAUUGUGCCUGAAUGAUUUUUAAAUCCCCAAAUACAUAUUUUAAUAGAUUUUCUUCUUGAGGCUUAUGAUGAUUUUUUGAGGCAGGAUGAUCAAGAUCAAGGUAGAUAUGGAUGGGCUCCAAAAUGCAAACAGGCUGUGUUUCAAAAACUAACGUCUUGAACAAAUAUACAGAAAUCAGAAAACAAUUUCCCCAGAGGGAAGAAAAUGAGAUACAUAGUCUAUUAGCUUCCUGGUGCUGCUGUUAGAAAUUACCACCAACUUGAUGGCUUAAAACAAUAUCUCGCGGGGUGGACACCAAGCCUCCUGCAGGCUCAAGGGGAGAAUUUCCUUCCUUUUCUUUUCCAGCUUCCAGAGGUGCUGGCUUUGCUGUUUCCUGGUCAGCCAUCAUGUCACUUCCGUGAUCACAAUGCUUUAUCUUCCUCUGAGCAGCCUGCCUCGCUCUUCUAAGGGCCGCUGCGAUUACACAGCCCUCCUAGAUUAUCCAGGAUAAUCCCCCAUCUCAAGGUCCUUACUUAAUUGAAUCUGCGACUCCCUUCUGCCAUGAUUUCAUAAACUUGUUUACCAAGCCUUCAGUGUCUGGAGAGAAGCACGCCCAGCAAAUGAGUCUCUCUACCCGGAAAAAGCUUCUCCAGGGCCGGGGGAAGAACUCUGAUGACGAGCAAGCCCCGGGGUACUGCUGAGCACGUGCCGACCUAAAGCCCACAUGUGUAUGGUGCAAUUCUACCACAGCCUCCAUCCACUUUCUGCUGCUCCUCCCAGGUUCCAGACGCCCUGUAAUGUAUGGCCUGUCACCCUGAGGUUCUGUAGGAAACAUUUCAAGGCCCUGGGAUGUGUGAGUUUCUCUUGACAUGUUUUGGUUCCCCCUCCCCCAGCCUGUGCUAUAGCUAGAAUCUUCAGCCAGUUAAAGGUGUGCUCUGGAUUUAAAACUGAUGGACAGCAGGUCUUUGUGGGCUCUGGAAUGCACAUGCAAGGUAAGAAGCAACUGUCCCCGCUCCAGGCAGGUGAAUGAGUGGGUGAGUCUUCAAGGAUGACCCUCUGGAAUUGGCCUCAGCCAAGCUCCACACGGGAGAGUUUCCUCCUCAGCAUCGCAUCUGAGUGCUCUUGGAGGGAAGGUUGUGCCUGCCACACAGGUCCACAGCUGAGCAUUAAACCGAAGUGCGCACUUUCUGCAACAUGCUGUACUGAACACCAAUUUCUAGCCCUAAUUCCCAAUAUAUUGUUUGUGAUUUCCGGGAAAGAAAACGUGGCUAUCUCAUGCAUUCUUCAAUAAUGGGAAUUAAAUUAACAUACUAGCCUGACAAGUAUCCUAGAGUGAUGAUAUUAUAUACGUACAUGUUCUGUAUUUUUUUUUUUUUUUUGGUUUGGUCCUACAUGAUUUUAAUAUACAUGCUAUUAAACUGCUACAUAUAUUUAGUUUAUUAUUAUAUCUACUUAUAUUUAGCUUCUGGCCUCUUGUGACUCUCCCUUUUCUGUUUUAAGUUAAUUAAUAUUAAGCAAUUAUGGGUCUAGCAUGUGAUGUCCUCCAGAAAAACAUAAAAAUGUCCCUGUGUGUGAGAAGCUUACAGUGCAGCAAGGAAGUCAAGUUACAGACACAACAUACCAGAGUCAAGCUCAAGAACCUACACAGCAGGUGUACACGAGCCAGACAAAUCAGAGCCCAGCAUGACGGGAGACUCAUUCCAUCCAUCUACCCACCCCUCCACCCACCUGGGCACCCACCUGCCCACACCACAAAUACUAACAAGUUUAAUGCAUGGCAGGUGCUGAGCAGAGGGGACAUUCUCCACAGCUACUGCCAACCCUUGUCCUUUGCCCACCUUUCUCACUAUGGAGUUUGAAACAAAGGGGAAAACACCACUUACUCAUUUUCCCCUGAAGCCAGGGUAGGCUUAGCUCUGGCCAAUGACCCAUAGGAGGGAAACCUUCUGAGGGAUCUUUGGAUGAAGGGAGAGACUUUUGCCUCUUUUUCCUGUCUUGAAUGAAGACAUGAUGUCUGGAGCUAUGGCACUCACCAUAUAACCCUGAGGUGGCAGAACAAUGAGGAUAGCAAAAGAAAAAGACAGAGAGUCCUGGUCCUGGCUAAUCAUCGAGCAGACACCUCAGCCAACACCUGUGUGCCACUCUCUGGCUUCUUAUGUGAGGAAAACAAGUUCAUUUAAGCCACUUGCUGUUCUGACUUGGUCAGCUGAAUGUAUUCCUAACCUGUAACUGGACAGACAGAGCUAACUUAUAGACAGAUCAUUACAAACGUACUGUACGAAACCCCAGGGAAUCCAGGUUAUAGCAACCUGAAGGUAGACUUGGGCCAGGAGGGCUUCCAGCGGUUGAUGAGUAAGCUGGGCCCUGAAUUCAAACAAAGGCUGGGGGAAAACUGCAGAGGUGGCGGACAGUCUGUGGUGGCGGAAGCAAAGACGACGGUGCAUGUGAGGAAGCAGAACUGUGGGUACAGGUUAGGGCAGAGCUGGGUACGGCGGUGCACCUAGAGCCUUCUGGGCCACUUUGGCUCUAACAAGGAUAAGGCACUUUGCUCAGGGACAAGGGAAGUCAAUGUGGAGUUUCUGGCAGGAUUACGAGCCUUGGGAGAAGCUCCCUGGUCCAGGACAGGGUGGGAGACGGAGACGGAGAGAGAAAGGUGACUGUGGCUAUCCCAGGGCAACAGGAAGAGCCUUGGGGAGAUGGGACUGUCCUGAGCCUUGGCUGUGUUGGUGUCAGCUUCCUGGUUAUGAUGGUUACUGUGGUUUCACAGGAUGUCACUACUGGGAGGACCUGGACAGCACAGGAUCUCUCUAUUUCUUGUAAGUGCAGGCGAAGCUAUAACCAUCUCAAAACAAAGACUUUUACUAAAGUGUCUCCUAGUUUCACUGCAGAGAGCACGUAAGGCUCAGAGAAGGGAGACCAAUUAUGAAGGCCUUCCCAGGAGUCCACAGCUGCAGGACCUCUGGCUAGGGAGAUGGGAAUGAUUUGAGAGGUGUCCAGGCGGCGCGAUGGACACUCGCUAAUGGAGCGUAUGUGGGAAGCAGAGGAGGAAAACACCACAGUGACCCCCAGGGGCCUGCCCUGAGCCUGCAGGUUGGUCCUGGCGUCUUUACUGAGACACGAUGCACAGGUGAGGGGGGUUUCGUGGUGGUGGUGGUGUAGAUCAGGAGGCUAUGAGAGUGGGGCACUUACAUUUAAGGAAGCACUGAACUGUCCAGGUAGGGAUGCUGAGCGGACAUUUGGAAAUGCAAACACGCCCCAAACGAGGUGAUUUUAGUAUUGGACCAACUAAGCUUUUUCCUGAAGUCUGGGUUUUCCAUAACUUAGGCAGCAAAGAACAAAAUUCUAUGGUUUUUUCCUUACUAAUCGACAUGUCUGUACCUGUAAAAAUUUGACUUCAUUUUUAACAAGUGCACUUAAAAUUUUUAUGGUAUUAUUUUAAUUAUUUAAUAUGUGGAUGCCUGCUCAUUGUUAAUAAAUGAAUGAAACACAGAGCUAAAAGUGACAUUUCUUCCCUCAGGCGUUGGCCAAUUUUACUGCUUUCCCUCUUUCCCUCUAGGAAACCAGGAGAAUAAGAGCAAAUGUCCCAUUCAAUUCCUGGUACCAAAACAAAACAAAAGGAACAAAUGUCCCUCACCUCUCCACAUCACACUUCAGCCCCACUCUAGGGUCUUAAUUGCUCUUCUUUAAGGGGAAAAAGUCCAGAUCUGAUGGUGGGUGCCUGGCCCUGGCAGCACUGGGUCUAACUACUGGUAGGGUCCUUGCUGGAACUGGUGCUUUCUUUCCCAUCUCACAGGGCCAGUUCCUGCUUUUUGGCAGACUCGACUUUCUCCGAGCUCUCUGCCCCACCUGCAGCUGGUGUGGGAAGUAAAGCUGCACUCUUCAAGCCUAGGGGCUUGGAGCUGUCAUUUCAAUCCAGUUAUCUUCCUCCGCAGCGGGGUCUGAGCAUGGGUGUCCCCGGCAAGAGGGCUGGAGGCAGAAGACUUUGCUUCUGCCACUGACCAAAAGGGCCUUACCUAAUUCAGCUCCUACCUGACAGCCCUGGAUAAAAAUUUGCUUAAAUUUUAUUAUUAGUAAAGUGGCACUGAUGAAAAUACUGGAAACUGAUUCAAAAACUGACAUGUUAAGAAAAUAUUGUAUGCAUGAUAUAUAUUACCCUCAAGAGCCCUGCUCCAAGGGGAGUGCGCCAUAUUGGAAAUGACUUUUCUCAGACUGCUUCUCUCCUGAUUUGGAAGACAGCAUCAUUGAUGAAGCAGCUGACUUUCCUUUGGAAGGCACAUUGCACACCCAAACCCUCCCGACUUUAGAUCCUAGACUCACACUCAGCACUGUGAGGUGUACGCUACCAAGAGGACCCUAGAGCUGCCUCUGGCUGGUGGCCAGCAGGUGCAUACAUCUUCCUCAGGUCCAUACAGGGCUGUAGGUGACCUGCAUAUGUUAGCUGCAGUUACUACCCUCUCCCUGAUUUUCUUUUCAAAUGCACACAGUUGUUUUUACGUAAAAUACAUGUGCAUGUAAUGUAACUUCUCAGUAUUUUCUUUUCCAUUUAACUAACAAUUCUUGACACCUGCCUCACUGUUCAAAAUUCAGAAUAAAGACAGAUGAGAGGCCCCGAACUCCGUAUUACUUUGGGAUCUACUCUUCUAGAUUGUUCUCUCUGUAUUUAUAUGGACACAUACAUGACUUUUUACAUAAGUGGGAAUAUAGUGAACAUAUCCUUCUGCAACUUACUUUAUUUUUGCUUUCACAUCUUUUUUGUAUGAGUACAUACUGGUGAUAAAGAUUAAUGGGUUCAUUUUGGAAGAUGUACAUAUGCAUACAACGUACUUUGAUCAUUCCCCUCACUCCUUCAUCCCCCUUGCUUGCCUCUGCAAGUUAGUAUUUUCACUGAGUAACAAAAUUUUUGCCAUUCUCCACAAUACAUCAAUAAAUAUGGAUGGGCCAUAUUCUUUUAAACUAUUCCAUACUAUGGAUACUUUGUGCUACUUGUAACCACUUGCCAUUGUUGAGCAUUGUUUAGGCAUGUCUAGUUUUUGCUAUUAUAAACAUGACAAUAAUAAACAUCCUAUUGAACAUAUCUUUAAUUACUUAUUUAUAGAAGAUAAAUUAAUCUGCCACAAAUAUAUACUCGUGAUAUUUGUAAAAGUUAAUAAAUAUGAAAUUACUAGAUCAAAGAUUAUGUAUAUUUGAAAUUUUAAUAGCUACUGCUGAAUUGCCCUCUGAAAAUGUUUAAUAAUUGUCACUCCUACCAUGCUGUAUAUGGUCAAACACUGUAUAUCAUGAAUUUUUAAAAUUUUUGCCAACAUAAUGAAUAAAAAAGGAGCA